ACAUCUCUUGGAGUUCUAGCUCACCUUUCUGGUGUUGUUCUUGUACUCAUCUGUUUAAUCUAGUUCUGCCACUUCUUCUUGAACUUUUUGUUAGAUUUCAAGUCUAUAUUUUGUGUCCGUGACAGUUUGUCGAGACUACACUAACUUGAGAUAUCAGAGCUAGUUCUUUCUAAGUAGAGUGUGGAUUACCCCUCUACUUGAAGGUAUACUAGCAUUUUUAGAGGUUGUGGAUUACCCUCCUCUAAACUGAUACUUCUUCUGUUACAAUAUUGGAGUCUUAUUCUUCUUGGAGAGAGUGGAUUACCCCUCUUCUUGAAAUUCUUAAGGCAUUUUAUAGGUUGUGGAUUACCCUCCUAUAAACCAAUAUUGCC
Molecule: long non-coding RNA, 371 nt
Filed under: Physcomitrium patens
Lineage: Eukaryota; Viridiplantae; Streptophyta; Bryopsida; Funariales; Funariaceae
Description: long non-coding RNA (PPAT_LNC013424)
Source: RNAcentral